GAGUUUGAUCAUGGCUCAGAUUGAACGCUGGCGGUAUGCUUAACACAUGCAAGUCGAACGGUAACAGGAGAGAGCUUGCUCUUUUGCUGACGAGUGGCGGACGGGUGAGUAAUGCGUAGGAAUCUGCCUAGUAGUGGGGGACAAUGUGUGGAAACGCACGCUAAUACCGCAUACGCCCUACGGGGAAAGCGGGGGAUCUUCGGACCUCGCGCUAUUAGAUGAGCCUACGUUAGAUUAGCUAGUUGGUGGGGUAAAGGCCUACCAAGGCGACGAUCUAUAGCUGGUCUGAGAGGAUGAUCAGCCACACUGGGACUGAGACACGGCCCAGACUCCUACGGGAGGCAGCAGUGGGGAAUAUUGGACAAUGGGCGAAAGCCUGAUCCAGCAAUACCGCGUGUGUGAAGAAGGCCUGAGGGUUGUAAAGCACUUUCAAUUGUGAAGAAAUAUUUAAGGUUAAACUAACCUUAAAUUUUAGACGUUAACUUUAGAAGAAGC
Molecule: ribosomal RNA, 495 nt
Filed under: uncultured microorganism
Description: bacterial SSU rRNA
Rfam family: Bacterial small subunit ribosomal RNA
Source: RNAcentral